GACGAACGCUGGCGGCGUGCUUAACACAUGCAAGUCGAACGAGAAGAGAUGAGAAGCUUGCUUCUUAUUGAUUCGAGUGGCAAACGGGUGAGUAACGCGUAAGCAACCUGCCCUUCAGAUGGGGACAACAGCUGGAAACGGCUGCUAAUACCGAAUACGUUCUUUUUGCGCAUGGCAGAGGGAAGAAAGGGAGGCUCUUCGGAGCUUUCGCUGAAGGAGGGGCUUGCGUCUGAUUAGCUAGUUGGAGGGGUUAACGGCCCACCAAGGCGACGAUCAGUAGCCGGUCUGAGAGGAUGAACGGCCACAUUGGGACUGAGACACGGCCCAGACUCCUACGGGAGGCAGCAGUGGGAAUCUUCCGCAAUGGACGAAAGUCUGACGGAGCAACGCCGCGUGAACGAUGACGG
This 407-nucleotide ribosomal RNA is filed under the name uncultured bacterium. RNAcentral's name for it is "bacterial SSU rRNA". It matches the Rfam family "Bacterial small subunit ribosomal RNA", at positions 28 to 414 of the family's 1533-position model. The record is from RNAcentral.